Molecule: transfer RNA, 72 nt
Filed under: Camelus bactrianus (Bactrian camel)
Lineage: Eukaryota; Metazoa; Chordata; Mammalia; Artiodactyla; Camelidae
Also listed under: 1 other name
Rfam family: tRNA
About the family: Transfer RNA (tRNA) molecules are approximately 80 nucleotides in length. Their secondary structure includes four short double-helical elements and three loops (D, anti-codon, and T loops).
Source: Rfam by way of RNAcentral
GAGGGUGUAGCUCAGUGGUAGAGCAUAUGCUUAGCAUGCAGACGGUUCUGGGCUCAAUUCCCACUACCUCUA